RNAcentral lists this ribosomal RNA (641 nucleotides) under Pseudomonas sp. Its description in RNAcentral is "bacterial SSU rRNA". It matches the Rfam family "Bacterial small subunit ribosomal RNA", at positions 106 to 743 of the family's 1533-position model. Lineage: Bacteria; Pseudomonadati; Pseudomonadota; Gammaproteobacteria; Pseudomonadales; Pseudomonadaceae. The record is from RNAcentral.
GUGAGUAAUGUCUGGGAAACUGCCUGAUGGAGGGGGAUAACUACUGGAAACGGUAGCUAAUACCGCAUAACGUCGCAAGACCAAAGAGGGGGACCUUCGGGCCUCUUGCCAUCGGAUGUGCCCAGAUGGGAUUAGCUAGUAGGUGGGGUAACGGCUCACCUAGGCGACGAUCCCUAGCUGGUCUGAGAGGAUGACCAGCCACACUGGAACUGAGACACGGUCCAGACUCCUACGGGAGGCAGCAGUGGGGAAUAUUGCACAAUGGGCGCAAGCCUGAUGCAGCCAUGCCGCGUGUAUGAAGAAGGCCUUCGGGUUGUAAAGUACUUUCAGCGGGGAGGAAGGGAGUAAAGUUAAUACCUUUGCUCAUUGACGUUACCCGCAGAAGAAGCACCGGCUAACUCCGUGCCAGCAGCCGCGGUAAUACGGAGGGUGCAAGCGUUAAUCGGAAUUACUGGGCGUAAAGCGCACGCAGGCGGUUUGUUAAGUCAGAUGUGAAAUCCCCGGGCUCAACCUGGGAACUGCAUCUGAUACUGGCAAGCUUGAGUCUCGUAGAGGGGGGUAGAAUUCCAGGUGUAGCGGUGAAAUGCGUAGAGAUCUGGAGGAAUACCGGUGGCGAAGGCGGCCCCCUGGACGAAGACUGA